This 622-nucleotide long non-coding RNA is filed under the name Heterocephalus glaber (naked mole-rat). RNAcentral's name for it is "lncRNA (ENSHGLG00100030127.2)". The record is from RNAcentral. Lineage: Eukaryota; Metazoa; Chordata; Mammalia; Rodentia; Bathyergidae.
GUGCGCAUGCGCACUGGGAAAGAAAAUGGACUCAAUGGGAGGACUUGCGCAGAUACCAGGACCCUCUGCUCUGAGCCACAAUGAAGAACUUUCCCAGACUAGGCAAGCCCAGGUACUACUGAAACAAAAGUGAGAGCAGAGCCAUCCCUGUGCCGACAGGAGCUUCUAAAGUUAAUAACAGUGUUGGACAUUGGUGCCAGUUAUAGAUACAGAGGCGUAACAAGUGGAGAAGAGGAAGGAUAUGCUUUUAUCAGUGCCCACCAUGUGCCAGAUAAAAUGAAUUGGCUCAUUGGAAAUAUGCUAAUGACCCUGCCAGACUCCAGCAUGAUGAGCAAUUUGGAACGCUGCCCUCUUGCCCACUGUGAUGGAGUGACUAUGCGGUCAGAGGUGUGGAGAGAAGAGAGGGCACAGGAGGACCAGUGAGGAGAGAGGAGAGUGUCAAUAGAACCCAUCAGCUACAUCCAAGACGCAUGGUGGAUUAUCUUGUUAAUGAUACAAAGUAAGUGUCAGCUGCCCUGCUCUCUGGCCUGCUCCCUGCAAUUGGAAUCUUCGUGUUCCACGCCCAGCCUCUGAUUCUGAAGACUAAGAGGGUACUGCAAUGAGGGGAGGAGGAAAGAAAGAG